This 366-nucleotide long non-coding RNA is filed under the name Manihot esculenta (cassava). RNAcentral describes it as "long non-coding RNA (MESC_LNC010416)". The record is from RNAcentral. Lineage: Eukaryota; Viridiplantae; Streptophyta; Magnoliopsida; Malpighiales; Euphorbiaceae.
UACUGGGGGACAGGAGUCUGUGGGUGCUGGACUCCCUAGGGAUAGUUCUGUAGAUGAUGUAAGUAGGAGUAGCGAUGUAGUUACUGAUGUUAGUCCUCUAAGGAUAAUUUUUCCUCCUAUAAUUUUAGAUGACUGAAUAAAAUAGUGUUUUGUUCCCUUUUGUAUUUAUGUUACGCUUUUGCCUUUUUGUUCUCGAUGUUUAACUGUAUGCUAAGCUUCAGUGAUCGGGAUCUUACCUUUGUUCAUACUUGCACUUGUAUUUGAGUUACUUUUUGCUUCUGUCUGUCUUGUUGCCUUUAUUGGACCGUUCAAUCCGUUUAAGGCUUAAUUCACUCUCUUCAUUCUUGCAAACCUUUUCUAAUUUUG